GCCGGGCGUGGUGGCGCAUACCUGUAAUCCCAGCGGCUAGGGAGACUGAGGCAGGAGGAUCGUGAGUUCAAAGCCAACCUCAGCAACUUGGCAAGGCACUUAGCAACUCAGUGAGACCCUGUCUAUA
Molecule: small RNA, 127 nt
Filed under: Marmota monax (woodchuck)
Lineage: Eukaryota; Metazoa; Chordata; Mammalia; Rodentia; Sciuridae
Source: RNAcentral